Molecule: ribosomal RNA, 497 nt
Filed under: uncultured bacterium
Lineage: Bacteria
Description: partial 16S ribosomal RNA
Rfam family: Bacterial small subunit ribosomal RNA
Source: RNAcentral
GAUGAACCUUGGCGGCGUGCUUACUACAUGCACCCCAAGCCUCUAGAUCUCCCGCUUGCUCCCUUGACGUUCUCGUCCCUCCGGUGAGUCACACGCGGGUAACCUUCCUAUCAGCCUGCCUUACUUCCCGGUAACCGGGGCUAAUGCCCGAUCACCUUUACAAUCUCAUUCUUCUAUAGUCCAACAUCGUCUUUCUAUCCUCUAAAGAUGGCCCCGCGUCGUAUUAGCUAGUUGGUAAGAUAACGGCUUACCAAGGCAACGAUACGUAACCGACCUGAUAGGGUGAUCGGCCACGCUGGAACUGGAACACGGUCCAGACUCCUACGGGGGGCAGCAGUAGGGAAGCUGCCGCAAUGGGCGAAAGCCUGACGGGGCAGCGCCGCGUGAGUGAUGAAGGUCUUCGGAGCGUAAAACACUGUUAUUAGGGAAGAAAAAAUGUGUAAGUAGCUGGGCACGGCGUGACGGUACCUAAUGAGAAGGCCACGGCUAACGACGUG